Molecule: non-coding RNA, 99 nt
Organism: Mucidula mucida
Lineage: Eukaryota; Fungi; Basidiomycota; Agaricomycetes; Agaricales; Physalacriaceae
Source: the annotation of a GenBank genome assembly
GCUUCCUUGGCUCAGUUGGCUAGAGCGCCAGUCUCAUACGUAUGAGUGAGCGUUGCUCAUCUAAUCUGGAGGUCGCAAGUUCGAGCCUUGCAGGGAGCA